Molecule: ribosomal RNA, 497 nt
Filed under: uncultured bacterium
Lineage: Bacteria
Description: partial 16S ribosomal RNA
Rfam family: Bacterial small subunit ribosomal RNA
Source: RNAcentral
GACGAACGCUGGCGGCGUGCCUAAUACAUGCAAGUAGAACGCUGAAGAGAGGAGCUUGCUCUUCUUGGAUGAGUUGCGAACGGGUGAGUAACGCGUAGGUAACCUGCCUGGUAGCGGGGGAUAACUAUUGGAAACGAUAGCUAAUACCGCAUAAAAUUGAUUAUUGCAUGAUAAUUAAUUGAAAGAUGCAACUGCAUCACUACCAGAUGGACCUGCGUUGUAUUAGCUAGUUGGUGAGGUAACGGCUCACCAAGGCGACGAUACAUAGCCGACCUGAGAGGGUGAUCGGCCACACUGGGACUGGGACACGGCCCAGACUCCUACGGGAGGCAGCAGUAGGGGAUCUUCGGCAAUGGGGGGAACCCUGACCGAGCAACGCCGCGGGAGUGAAGAAGGUUUUCGGAUCGUAAAGCUCUGUUGUAAGAGAAGAACGGGUGUGAGAGUGGAAAGUGCACACUGUGACGGUAUCUUACCAGAAAGGGACGGCUAACUACGUG